AACGAACGCUGGCGGCGUGCCUAACACAUGCAAGUCGUGCGGGAAAGUUCCCUUCGGGGAGCGAGUAUAGCGGCGCACGGGUGAGUAAUACGUAGGUAACCUGCCCUCAAGUUCGGGACAACCUGUCGAAAGACGGGCUAAUACCGGAUGAGACCACGAGAGCUGCGGCUCUUGGGGUCAAAGGUGGCCUCUGCUUGCAAGCUAUCGCUUGAGGAUGGGCCUGCGCGCCAUUAGCUAGUUGGUGGGUAACGGCCUACCAAGGCAGAGAUGGCUAGCUGGUCUGAGAGGAUGACCAGCCACACUGGGACUGAGACACGGCCCAGACUCCUACGGG
This 334-nucleotide ribosomal RNA is filed under the name uncultured bacterium. RNAcentral describes it as "bacterial SSU rRNA". It matches the Rfam family "Bacterial small subunit ribosomal RNA", at positions 29 to 345 of the family's 1533-position model. The record is from RNAcentral.